GUUUAGUGAAGGAAGUUUUUCUGUUUUUUUUCACGAAAUCAGGGACUGAAAUGGUUACGAGGUCGAUACAUCACACGCGCUCAUAACCUUCUUUUCCUUUCCUUUUCUACUCUUCUUCUUCUUCCUUCUAUUCUUCAACCUUCUGUAUGUAUUCCACUUCCAGCUAGGUUUCAAAAAAACCCAAAAGAUCCAUUAUGUAUCUCACUUUUUCU
This 212-nucleotide long non-coding RNA is filed under the name Helianthus annuus (common sunflower). Its description in RNAcentral is "hypothetical non coding rna". Lineage: Eukaryota; Viridiplantae; Streptophyta; Magnoliopsida; Asterales; Asteraceae. The record is from RNAcentral.